Long non-coding RNA from Ipomoea triloba (trilobed morning glory), 413 nucleotides. RefSeq lists it as uncharacterized. The transcript has 2 exons. Lineage: Eukaryota; Viridiplantae; Streptophyta; Magnoliopsida; Solanales; Convolvulaceae. The record is from RefSeq and is a predicted model, not a curated record.
ACUCAUUUUUUUUCCCAAUUUCGGCUUCAACAAAGAAAACUGAACGUCACUUUCGGUUUCUUCCCUUGAGUGUCAUCAAUUCAACGUGAAAUUGAGUCGGGGCAAGUACAGGGGUUCAAGAGUGUGUUGAUUUUGGAAUCCAGUUAUUUUGCAGGUUUGGAUUGCAUGGCAUUGAGUAUGAGAGCGAAUCAAUCUAAAGAUUUUUAUACCUUUAGAAAUCAAAUAUUGUAUUAGUAAUCGGUAGUAAGUUAGUUUUAGCCUGUGCGUUUGAGUAUGAGAUACUUGAACGUGGCAGAACACCUUUUUUUUUCCUUUUUUGUUGUUGAAGCUUCCGUUAUUGUAAAAGUCAUUUGUAAUUAAAAAGAGAAAAUUUCCCGUAUUUUCAGUUAAGGAAAAAGUGGGGUGUUACACCA